Molecule: ribosomal RNA, 497 nt
Filed under: uncultured bacterium
Lineage: Bacteria
Description: partial 16S ribosomal RNA
Rfam family: Bacterial small subunit ribosomal RNA
Source: RNAcentral
GAUGAACGCUGGCGGCGUGCCUCAUACAUGCAAGUCGAGCGAACAGACGAGGAGCUUGCUCCUCUGACGUUAGCGGCGGACGGGUGAGUAACACGUGGAUAACCUACCUAUAAGACUGGGAUAACUUCGGGAAACCGGAGCUAAUACCGGAUAAUAUAUUGAACCGCAUGGUUCAAUAGUGAAAGACGGUUUUGCUGUCACUUAUAGAUGGAUCCGCGCCGCAUUAGCUAGUUGGUAAGGUAACGGCUUACCAAGGCAACGAUGCGUAGCCGACCUGAGAGGGUGAUCGGCCACACUGGAACGGAGACACGGUCCAGACUACUACGGGAGGCAGCAGUAGGGAAUCGUCCGCAAUGGGCGAAAGCUUGACGGAGCAACGCCGCGUGAGUGAUGAAGGUCUUCGGAUCGUAAAACUCUGUUAUUAGGGAAGAACAAAUGUGUAAGUAACUAUGCACGUCUUGACGGUACCUAAUCAGAAAGCCACGGCUAACUACGUG